RNAcentral lists this transfer RNA (72 nucleotides) under Glarea lozoyensis 74030. Its description in RNAcentral is "tRNA-Thr (GGT) (tRNA-Thr-GGT-1-1)". It matches the Rfam family "tRNA". Rfam says of the family: Transfer RNA (tRNA) molecules are approximately 80 nucleotides in length. Their secondary structure includes four short double-helical elements and three loops (D, anti-codon, and T loops). Further hydrogen bonds mediate the characteristic L-shaped molecular structure. tRNAs have two regions of fundamental functional importance: the anti-codon, which is responsible for specific mRNA codon recognition, and the 3' end, to which the tRNAs corresponding amino acid is attached (by aminoacyl-tRNA synthetases). tRNAs cope with the degeneracy of the genetic code in two manners: having more than one tRNA (with a specific anti-codon) for a particular amino acid; and 'wobble' base-pairing, i.e. permitting non-standard base-pairing at the 3rd anti-codon position. The record is from RNAcentral. Lineage: Eukaryota; Fungi; Ascomycota; Leotiomycetes; Helotiales; Helotiaceae. RNAcentral also lists the same sequence under 1 other name.
GUCUGGAUGGUGCAGUGGUAUCAUACUGAAGGGGUACUUCAGAGACGGGUGGUUCGAUUCCCCCUCCAGACA